UUAGUGUGUAUCAAUCGAGUUUCUGACCUAUCAGCUUUUGAUGUUAGGGUAUUGGCCUAACAUGGCUAUGACGGGUAACGGGGAAUUAGAGUUCGAUUCCGGAGAGGGAGCCUGAGAAAUAGCUACCACAUCUAAGGAAGGCAGCAGGCGCGUAAAUUACCCAAUUCUAAAGAAGAGAGGUAGUGACAAGAAAUAACAAUGCAAGGCCAAAUUUUGGUUUUGCAAUUGGAAUGAUGGGAAUUUAAAACCUUCCCAGAAGGCAAUUGGAGGGCAAGUCUGGUGCCAGCAGCCGCGGUAAUUCCAGCUCCAAUAGCGUAUAUUAAAAUUGUUGCAGUUAAAACGCUCGUAGUUGAAUUUCAAGGAAUCAAUAUUUUAAGUAAUGCUUUGUAUAUUUAUAACAAAGUUGUACAUUAAGAAUAAACGCCA
Molecule: ribosomal RNA, 426 nt
Filed under: Plasmodium malariae
Lineage: Eukaryota; Apicomplexa; Aconoidasida; Haemosporida; Plasmodiidae
Description: SSU rRNA
Rfam family: Eukaryotic small subunit ribosomal RNA
Source: RNAcentral